GGGGAAUUGUUCGCAAUGGGCGCAAGCCUGACGACGCAACGCCGCGUGGAGGACGAAGAUCUUCGGGUCGUACACUCCUUUCGAUCGAGAAGAAUGUCUAUGGGGUUAAUAGCCCUGUAGAGUGACGGUAUCGAGAGAAGAAGCCACGGCUAACUCUGUGCAAGCAGCCGCGGUAAUACAGGGGGGGCAAGCGUUGUUCAGAAUUACUGGGCGUAAAGGGCUCGUAGGCGGCCAACUAAGUCACACGUGAAAUCCCCAGGCUCAACCUGGGAACUGCGUGUGAUACUGGAUGGCUUGAAUUCGGGAGAGGGAUGCAGAAUUCCAGGUGUAGCGGUGAAAUGCGUAGAUAUCUGGAGGAAUACCGGUGGCGAAGGCGGCAUCCUGGACCGACAUUGACGCUGAGGAGCGAAAGCUAGGGGAGCAAAC
This 426-nucleotide ribosomal RNA is filed under the name uncultured bacterium. Its description in RNAcentral is "bacterial SSU rRNA". It matches the Rfam family "Bacterial small subunit ribosomal RNA", at positions 356 to 773 of the family's 1533-position model. The record is from RNAcentral.